UGUUGUUGAAGUGCUAGAAAAUGGGUCCAUCCAAAGUCGAGAGCAUGCAGUUGGGGCAUUACUGACCAUGUGUCAGAGUGAUAGAAGUAAAUAUAGAGAACCUAUUCUCAGAGAAGGUGUGAUCCCUGGACUUCUCGAGCUGACUGUUCAAGGAACACCCAAGUCACAGAUAAAGGCACAAACCCUGUUGCAGUUAUUGAGGGAUACUCCAUACCCAAGAUCUGAGCUUCAGCCUGACACACUAGAGAAUAUUGUGUGCAACAUUAUCUCCCAGAUAGAUGGAGAUGAUCAAUGUAAUAAAGCGAAGAAAAUGCUGGCUGAGAUGGUGCAAGUUAGCAUGGAACAGAGCUUGAGACAUUUACAGCAAAGGGCUAUGGUAUGCACACCCAGUGAUCUGGCCAUUAGUAGUUGUACUUCUGAAGUUUCUCUAAAAUGAUUGUUUUGGCUGUCAAAUUUUUCCCUUUUUAUCUUUUUUCUUUCCUUUUCUUUUCUCAUGUGCGUUUGUGAGAUAAGGUUUUCCUUUGUAAAAAAGCAUAAAAAAGAAAAAAGAAAAAAA
Molecule: unclassified non-coding RNA, 556 nt
Filed under: Hevea brasiliensis (rubber tree)
Lineage: Eukaryota; Viridiplantae; Streptophyta; Magnoliopsida; Malpighiales; Euphorbiaceae
Source: RNAcentral